CGAGUGAAUACUAAAUCCCGAACCCACGCGUUCCCCACCCUUCCUCUUAUCGUUCUAACGGUUUCUGACACGAGAUUACCCUCUCCUCUCACUCGCUCGAAAUUGGAUAUAUCUCACAAUUGGAAGGUUCUGGAGGCGGAUUCGCUGGUUGAGUGUGAGGCAUUGGAUUGAGUUCAUUCAAGCUGAGCCCUACGUUCAUCAAGGGAUCGGUUUUCAAAUAGAGCCCGUUCCGAUUUUGAGAAGGGGAGAACAAAAAAUUUGGAGAAAAAAGUUGAAAGGUUCUUUUAACUUCUGGUUUUCUGAUUUUAAUUUCUUCUUGAAAGAGUUCUUUCAAAGUUUAAGAGAAACAUAUAUACGAAUUUUUAUUUUUUUUAAUCCGUUUUGAGUUUCGAAGAGAUGAAAAAAAUGAAUUGAAGUUCAAGCGUGGUUUUUCUACCGUUGUCAUGCUGAGUUACUGCUGAACCUCGCUAGGAUUUGGAGUGGAAAGUUGUACUGUCGAGUCUAUAAAUAUUAAAGGAAGUUUGAAAUUUCAGGUUCAAUUUCUUUUCUCUUCUACAUCUCUGUUUUAAAGUGUCUUGAACUGUGAGAUUUUGUUCAAUGGUUUUCUGUUCUGCGAUUGAAUUUCUUGCUGGUGAAUUUCUUCUCAAUGAUAUGAUGUGCUUGAGUACGUUCAAUCAGUAAGAGUCGCUUUCGAGUAGUCGUCCUCUAUGCUUUCUAUGCUUUAACUGUUAUUUUGGUGUCGACUUAUCAUUUUAAGUCAAGAUUCCGUCGCUUUCACAUGGACGAUGUGUUCAGUUUUGUGAUGGUUAAGCGAGCAUGAAACUACAACAUUUAUUCUCAUGAUAUUUGUUUUCUAGACUUUAAGUGAUUUGUUUCUUAUGAAAUCUUCCUCAUUUGCUAGAGGCAUCAAACAGAAUCAUUCUCUUACUUGAACAGUUGAUUUUUCAAAGUGUUGUUGGUCAGAAUUUUGGUCAUGUGAUUGUGCUUUCUAGCUCUUCUAGACUCUUAUGCAUAUCGCCUGUUCUAAAAUUUACUUUAGGCGUUCCAACUGUUUUUUUACAGAUUUCUUAUUGUGUCUGCUUUGGUUAUUCUGUUUUGACCCUAACAUUGUGAGCAUGAAGACUGAACUAUUCACGUCGAUCUUUGUUUUUCUCUCAUUGUAAGGGUGUUUUCUGUCUAAUUUGUAGCGAUUAGGUGCAAGUAAUUGAUAUAGGGUGGAGACCCUUAGACUUCAGGUGUAAACGGAAUAUCUAGUUCAUGGGGAUCCUUUGAGAUCAUAAGGCUGAAUCUGUCCUACUCUCUGGCUCUUUUUUGCAUUCGAAUAUAUGAGAACUUUAAGUCAGGAACUUGGUAUCCAUUGAUUGUUUGCCUUACUCCUUGUUUGUUGUGUGCAAGCUAUGAGUAUGUCACUUAUUUGAGGAUCCAUUCCAGUCAUUUGUAUGCUCAUUCUGUUGUACUCAGUAUGAGCCAUAAGGUUCAGGGUCGAGUUAAUGGUUCAGGGAACCAUCAACUGUAUUGGGAAUGUGUAAUUGGCCAGAAUGUCCUUUACUGUUAACUAUGAUGCUUCUGCUUGAAAAUUCAGCUCAUAGUUGGUCGAUUUUUUUGUUAAGGCUGACUUCAAUUCGAUUUGUUCAAACGUCUUAAUGGUAAUUAGUUCAUUGGAGGUUUUCUUUAUAUUGAUUAUACACUGACACCUAUGCUGGAUUCUUUGUGAUUUAGUUGCUGAGUUCCAUGUCUUAUGUUAAGUUGAGUGAGUUUUUGUACCAUGGAGACCUGAUUCUCACUAGAUUCAAAAUUCUAUGUCCAGUUGGUGAUUUUCAAGUUGACCAGUUUCUCUGUUGAACGCUUCGUGCUUCAUUCCGUCUGAUAGUUUAGUGUUAUUGAUGUGAGUAGAACUAGAUAUAAAACUGCUGAAAUCGUGCUCAUCCAUCUUUGUUGUAAGUGUUGGAGCCAAAAGGAUGUUUUUUAAAGAGUUAAAAGAAAGAAACCACGCAUAAUCAACUACUUAUUUUUACGUAAUUUGGCAUUCCCUGGUACAACAUUGUCCCUUAUAUAUCUUUAGUAAGGCAUCAUAUUUAUUUCAAUAAGUGGAUGCAUUUGCUACUUACUGUGAAAUGUGAAUCCUUGGGUCAGUAUACCAAUAUACUUUAAAUAAAGAGCAUUCCUUUCUGGUCGUUGUAUUGUUAUGGUGAGAACAUGCUCCUUGACUAUUUCGGAACAUGCAUUUGGGUAAGACUUUAUCCCAUCCCAUACUUGUACUCUAAUUCCAUGUGCAUAAUGUAUUCAAAAGCUUAUUUGGCCUCAUUGAGAGUGAUGGGUAAAUUGGCCUUUGCUUGAAAGUUAAUGAACAAUCAAUGAAUUAUCUUUGCUAUUCUUUUCUUGGUUGUCCAUUUUAUAUGUUAUGUGGACGAUUGAAUUGAAUUGUUUCUAAUAACUAGCGCACCAAUCCUUAUAUAGAUUAGUAUACAAUUGUGAUUGUGUAUAUGUUCGCGUAACAUGAUCACGAUUCUAAAAAUUAAUUCGGAGUAUGCGUUCGCGAAACUUCGAUCAAACUUUUCUUAAUUAUAAAAUGAGUUUCAUGGGCUAUUAAUUAAUAUUAGUUUAUAUAGCUCGAGGUGUGUCAUUCGCCAUUUAAUCAAGUAUGGCCCUUGUAUUAAUUUUAUAACAUAGAUAUAAAAAUUAUUAAUAUUCGUAGAAAAGCUUGUAGGGCCGUUUAAAUUACAAUUUUGAUUGUGUAUACGUUCGCGUAGCACAAUUAUGAUUUUAAAAACAAAACCGGAAUAUGCGUUCGCGCAACUUUGGCCAAACUCUCUUCACAAUAAUAAAGCAUUAUUAAUUAUGGACACGACGAUUUUGAUGCACCAAACAAAUGGGUAUACAUACGCGUAAUCCGUUUCAAGAUAGUUUUCUUAAAUAAAAAGCGGCAAAAAUCAAUAGCACAUAGGUUCUAAAAUAAGUAAUUAAACAAUUUAAUAAGCCAAGUAUAAUCAAAGCGACCGUGCUAGAACCAUGAAACCGGGAGUACUUAACACCUUUUUCCGGGUUAACAGAAUUUCUUACCCGAAUUUCUGUGUUUGCGGACUGUAAUAUAGAGUCAACUUUUUCUUGACUCGGGAUUUGAACCGGUGACUUGGGACACCAUAAAUUAUUCCAAGUGGCGACUCUGAAUCUAAACAAAUAAAUAAAUCUCGUUUCGACUGUCACUUUUAAUUGGAAAAAACUCCCUUAUUAUAUCCUCCCGUAAGGUGUUGCGUAAAAAGGAUGUGUGACACUUUGCUGGCUCCAAUAUAAUAUACUUGAGACUGGAAUACCGAUGCUCCAAACUCUAGUAUAUUAUGUUAGACCGGUAUACUUGUUGAAACUCCAGUAUAUUAUGUCGGAGUUUAAGUGUACUUGUGCUGGAACUCCAUCAUAUUAUGCUGGAGUUCCAACAUACUUAUUCUGGAACUCCAGUAUAAUAUGCUGGAGUUCAAGUAUACUUAUAUUGGAACUCCAGCAUAAUAUACUGACAUAUUUUCUGGGUUUUGAACGCUCAGAUUUAUCUUUACAUGAAAAAUGUCUAGAUUUUGAUUUCUUUUGAAACUAGAUUAUUUUUGAACGACCAGUUGUAAAUCUGACUAUUUUGAAUUUCUUCCAAAUUCACACGGUACCAGUACUAUUAAAGAAUACUAAUCAUGUAAAGUUAUAGCUUAAUUUAUCGAGCAAAUAAGAGAUACUAUUGCUUUAAUAGAAAAAUAUUAAUCAUGUCGAAUUAUAAUCUGUUUGAGCAAAUUAGGGAUAUUGUUGUUCUAAUUCGAGAAUAUCUUCUUUAUCAUUUCACUAUACGUACUAAUAUAGUCAAUAUAACACUACAGGAAGCAGAUCAAAUAGUCGCUGAAUAAUUUCUGUUCUUUAUUUUUCUUCACUAAGUUAUCUACUAAUAAAGCAACAAUCUUCACGAAUUAGAGGUACUAGUGUUCCUAUUUCACCUUAUUUUGUGUCCAUAUUUGCUAUUGAGCUUGAAUUUGAUUGUUAUAAGAAGACAAGGAAAGAGACGAAAUUUGCAGUCAUAGCGACUAAGAUGGCAGCAUUUGAACGAUUAUAUGAGGAUCUUGGAGGCAAAGGAGGUGCCAGGAAGCUGUACAAGUUAGUCAAGAUUAAGGAAAGGAAGGCUCGAAACCUAGGCCAAAUGAGGUACAUCAAAGACGAAGAUGGUAAGCUACUAGUGGAAGAAGUAUGUAUCACAUGUAGAUAACAGAAGUACUUCCAUAAACUUUUGAAAAGGAAUAAGAAAGGAACAUCGUGUUGGAUGAGUUGGAGAACUUAAAGAAUCAGAGAGAUUUUGGAUUUUGUAGGCGUAUUAAGAGUGAGAAGUUUGAGGGGGCAAAGCAAAAGAUGAGCAGGGGUAAGGUGAUUGUGUCUGACGAGAUCACAGUGGAAUUUGGAAAGAAAGCUGAUCGGGCAGACUUGGAGUGCCUUACUGGUUUGCUUAAUUUCAUUUUCAGGAUGAAAAAGAUGCAUGAAGAUUGGCAAUAUAGUUUCAUGAGUCACACUAUGAAAUUUUGGGAGAGAGUGGUGGUGAAUAGGGUAAGGAGAAGUAUAUCUAUUUCUGAGAAUCAGUGCGGAUUUAUGUCGGGGUGGUCAAUUAUAGAAUCCAUUCACCUUAUGGGUAGAUUGGUGGAAUAGUAUAGGGAGAGGAAAAAGGACUUGCAUGUUCAUUCACCUAAAGAAAGCAUUUGAUAAAGUUCCGAGGGAGGUCUUAUGGAGAUGUUUAGAGGUUAAUGGUGUCCCGAUAACAUAAGAUGAUUAAGGACAUAUAUGAGGGAGCUAAGACUCAGGUGAGGACUGCGAGAGGAGACUCAAAAUAUUUCUAAGUGGAGAUGGGGUUGCAUUGGGUCAACUAUUAGCCCGUCUUUAUUUGCCUUAGCAUUGGAUGUGCUGAUACGACACAUACAAGGAGAGGUGCCAUGUGUAUGCUAUUUACUGAUAACAUAGUACUGAUUGACAAGACGCGAGAUGAAGUUAACGCUAGGUAGAAGUUUGGAGACAGACGCUAGAAUAAGUUGAGUCAGUCAAAAAAUAAAGUACUUGGAGUGCAAGGUCAGUGAUGGGAUACAUGAAGUAGAAGUGAAGUAAAUAUUGAUACUCAAUUCAUCCCCAAAAGAUACAGUUUCAUGUAUCUUGGGUGUAUAAUCCAAGACAACGGGGAGAUUGAUAAGGAUGUUACUCAUCGUAUUGGAAUGGGGUGGAUGAAAUAGAGUCUCGUUUCGAGGGUUUUAUAUGGUAAGAAUGUGAUAUCCAAACUUAAGGGUAAGUUCUACAGAGUGAUGGUUUAGACCAAUUAUGUUAUAUGGAACUGAGUGUUGGCCCGGCAAAAAGUCUCAGGAGAAUGUCGACAUGGAUGUGUGUACAUACUGGGAAACACAAGAUUAAGAAUGAAAUUAUUAGGGACAAUGUGGGUGUGACCUCUAUGGAGGACAAGUUAUGGGAAUUGAGGCUGAGAUUGUUUGCGUAUGUGAAAAUGAGAGACAUAGAUGCACCGGUUAUAAGGUAUAAGAGGUUGGUCAUAUUGGUCUGAGAAAGGAUAUGGAUACGGCAAAUAAGUAUCGAAGAUAGUUGGUUAGGAAGGAUAUGUCAUUGCUUCAGCUUACCGAGGACAUGACCUAGGGUAGAAAAGAGUGGAGGUCAAGGAUUAGGGUUGAAUAUUGACAGGUAGCCGUGAGCUAGGAGUAGGCUUACCAGUAAUACUAGUACUAUUUUUGUAUUUUCUUAUUCCUGGUUAUUAAUUAUUAUAUAUUAUGUCAUUCGUUUCUGUUACCCUAUUAUAUGUUGUUACUAUUAUUUAUUGUUUUAUUUUUAUUGUCCUUGGAUCGCUGGUCUAUCGGAAAUAACCUCUCUACCUUUAUAAGGUUGGAGUAAGGUAUACGUACACAUUACCCUUCCCAGACCCCACUAAUGAGAUUAUAUUAUCUUUAUUAUUAUUGUUGUUGUUGUUAUUGAACUUGAAUUUAAAACCUCUGAAUAUUUCUCAUGCGAUCAGAAUUAAUAGAUACACAAUUUAAGGUGUAUAUCAUGUUAGUUGAAAGAAGAUAUUAUUAAAGUAAAUGAUAUAUAAUUUGAAUAACUAGGUGAAUUUGAAUCAUAAAAAAUUGUACAAGAUAGAUAAUAUUGUUACUACAUAUAACAACCCGGCCAGUUGCUUGAGAAUUAAUGUCCCUAUCCCAUAUUUAUUGCUUCCCCCCGAGUCUAUUUCUGCUAUUGUGAAUUGUUGGGAUGGUUAAUCUUGAGUUUCUGAGUGUGUUGGGACACUUAGUCCCUAAAUGAGAUUUUAAGUCUUAGAAUGUGGACCGUAGUCGUAUCAUUGCAAAGACAACUCCAAAAUGGAAUUCCGUCAAUUCUAUUAGCUCUGUUGGGUAGUUUCAAGUUUAGGAGCAUGUUUAGAUUGUAUUUUGGAGGUCCGUAGCUUAUUUAGGAUUGAAAUGCCGAAAGUUUAAUUUUUGGAGUUUUCGGGGCAAUAGUGAAAUUUUGAUAUCGAGGUCGGAAUCCGAUUCCGGGAGUUGGAAUAGGUCUGUAGUGUUAAAUAUGACUUGUGUGAAAAAUUGAGGUCAUUUGGACAAGGUUUGAUAGGUUUCGCAUCGGUUGUGAAAGUUUGAGGUUUCAAGUCCAUUAAGCUCGAAUUGGUGUGUGAUUCAUAUUUUUGUUAUUGUUUGAGGUGAUUCGAGAGCUCGAUUGAGUUGGCAUGGUAUCUUAGGACUUUAUGGCACAUUUACUUGAGGUUUCGGAGGCCCAAGGUGAGUUUUUGGGUGAGUUUUGAGCGAGUUCGGGCAUUACCAGAAUUGAGGCAUGGUUCUUGUGCUUAAAUCUUCACUAAGGAUGAAGGAACUUCCGCUGAGGGCGGAAUUUGGGGCAUUGAGGCGCUCCAGGGAAGAAUCUUCAUGUUCGUUAGUCCGAUUUUGGAAGCCUAUAUCUUUUGAUCUACAAGAAAUUUUGAGAUGAUUCAAUGACUAACGUUGUAGUCCUUCGUGUCUAGUUUUCAUAAAGGUAAAGAAAUCAUCAUUUAACAUGUGUAGAGAAAUUUAUGGAAAAAAUACUAAGGCAUGUUUGUGCAGCCACCAAAAGCACAGUCAGCGGAGGAAUUACGUGGUCAGCGGUGGAAGUCUGCUUAAGUAGUGAAUUUUGGCUGACAGCGGAAAUGGGAAUCCGAGAGGUGCACAAUAAAUAUAUAAUUUAGGGUUUUAUUUCAUAUUUUGACCUAGAGAGCUCAUGACUUGGCCAUUUUUAAAGGUUUUUUAAUAAAUUCAUCGGGGUAAGUAAUUCUAACUCAGUUUUGGCUAAAAUGCAAGAAUAUAACAUUCGAUUCAUCAUUUAGUUUUGAAUUUGGGUUAAAAAAAUUGGGGAAAAUUGAGAAAAGUUCUUAGUCCAAAUUUUUGGAGUUUGAUCGUUAUUUUAGUAUUGGAUUUGAGUGAAUUUGAUAUGGUUAGACUCGUGAAUGAAUGGUUGUUCAUAAUUUGUGACUUUUACCCGAUUCUGAGACGUGGGCCUGAGGAGGAUUUUUGGGCGUUCUUGUAUUUUCUUGCCUUAGCUUAGAUUUCUUUAGCUAAAUUAGUUUUUUGUUGUAGUAUUUACGUUAUAAUAUUGAUAUGGUUAGAUUUUUUCCUCUCGUAUUUGGAUACUCAUGGAAAGAGCGUGAUUUUAGAUUGAUUUUGAGGUGGUUCGAGGUAAGUGGCUUGCCUAACCUUGUGUGGGGGAACUCCCCUUAGGAUUUUGGUACUUUUAUUAUAUGAGUAUCGUGUACGUGAGGUGACGAGUGCGUACACGUGAUAAUUGUUGAAAAAUCCCACUAUUUAAGUAAAUAUCUGUGUCUUCCUUUAAUUAAGCAAUACUUGUAUUUGAAGUUUCUUGUUUAGCUCAGGAAAGCAUGACUAUGUGACUUAACUAUUGUGUCUGCUUUAACUGCUUAUUUGGAUUCCGUGCAGCAUGUUUAGAAUAGAAAGUCCUGUUUAUUCUCGAAUAGAAUUGUAGAUUUCUUUCUUGAGACUUUUGUAUGUUUACUUUGGGACUACGAAUUCGGUAUUUCGGGAGAUCCCCCUGCACUUUAUAACUAGGACUACGGGAUGAUAUCCCAGGAGAUUCCCCUGUACUAGGUAUUUACUUUGGGACUAUGGAUCGGUAUUCUGGGAGAUUCCCCUGCAUAUUUAUGAUUCGGACUAUGGGACGAUAUCCCGGGAUAUCCUAUGCACAUUUACGUUUGGGACCACGGGAUGAUAUCCUGGGAGAUCCCUUAUUGUUAUCUCUAUAUUCUAAGUUGUUUCUUUUUGUGACUUCCUUCUUUAUCAACUGUUAGUAUCUUGAUUAUACUGUCGCAUUUUUUACUGAUUUAUCUUGUUAUCUAUAUAUAUAUAUAUAUAUAUAUAUAUAUACACACAUAUAUAAACUAGUAGGGCCCAUGACCUUCCUCGUCGCUACUCGACCGAGGCUAGGCGUGGCACUUACUGGGUACCGUUGUGGUGUACUCAUGCCCUUCCCUGCACAUGUUUUUUGUGUGCAGAUUUUGGUUCUUCUGCUCAACCAUACCAUCAAUGAGGUGAGGUGAUUUUCAGAGACUUCAAGGUAUAUCUUCCGUGUCUGCAGACCGAGAAGUCCCUCUCUAUUCUCCCUUUAGCUAUAUAUAUAUUUUGUAAUUAUUUUUGUUUAGACUUCUGGAGUUAGAACACUAUGUACUUUCUCUAAUUUAUGCUUCAUGAGAUUUCGGGUUUUGGGAGUUUU
RNAcentral lists this long non-coding RNA (8745 nucleotides) under Nicotiana benthamiana. RNAcentral describes it as "long non-coding RNA (NBEN_LNC033583)". The record is from RNAcentral. Lineage: Eukaryota; Viridiplantae; Streptophyta; Magnoliopsida; Solanales; Solanaceae.